RNAcentral lists this long non-coding RNA (725 nucleotides) under Homo sapiens (human). RNAcentral describes it as "non-protein coding lnc-KIAA2013-4:1". Lineage: Eukaryota; Metazoa; Chordata; Mammalia; Primates; Hominidae. The record is from RNAcentral.
AAACGGUCUUGUUUCCUAUGGUCCAGAGUAAAGCAGAUGCCUGGGUGAGGCCGUGGUGCCUCUCGACAUCCACACCCCAAAGCGUGCAGAGCCGGAACCAGGUGGUGGGGUCGGUGCUAGUGGAUUUGCAAGCAGGGCAGACCUAAGGAAGAUGCUUCUUCAUUUCCCAGGACAGAGUGGGUGGGGCCCACAGAGAGCGGUCAAGGACUCCAGGCAGGGCCCGAAGUUCCCCAUGUUCACAUGGGGAGGAAGUCCCUGGGCAAAGUAAAGCAGGUUCUCUGGGUUGGUGAGGGGCGGUCUGCAGCUGCUGAGGGCUGCAGACAUCUGGGACCCGAGGCGCCUGCUGUGGCGGGGAUUGGUGGGGACAUUCUGAGAUGAGUGACUUGAUCCUGGGCCCUAGGCCCUGGGCCCACCGAGGGGGCUACAGGACAGGGAAGGUGGGCAGCACCAGGAGGGUCCCACAGUCCAGGCAGGGGCCCUCACACCAGUGCAGAGUACAGUGUGGCCGCUGCAGCAGAGACAGUGCCAGCUGACGACGCCCCAUCCCUCGACUUCCCUUUUGACUCUGGAGAAACAACCACAGGCACUGGCUCCAUGCCCACUGGGGGCCACAUUUACAGUAACUGGGGGCAUGCCGGAAGGGCCCAAUGGGUGUCACCUCUGAGGUCCAGGGAGAGAGGAGAGUAGGGUUACAGGGGCCCCGGGAGCUGGCCUCACGACCUCUC